Molecule: ribosomal RNA, 253 nt
Filed under: uncultured bacterium
Lineage: Bacteria
Description: partial 16S ribosomal RNA
Rfam family: Bacterial small subunit ribosomal RNA
Source: RNAcentral
UACGAAGGGGGCUAGCGUUGCUCGGAAUUACUGGGCGUAAAGCGCACGUAGGCAGCUUUCUAAGUCGGGGGUGAAAUCCUGGAGCUCAACUCCAGAACUGCCUUCGAUACUGGAAAGCUCGAGUCCGGGAGAGGUGAGUGGAACUGCGAGUGUAGAGGUGAAAUUCGUAGAUAUUCGCAAGAACACCAGUGGCGAAGGCGGCUCACUGGCCCGGUACUGACGCUGAGGUGCGAAAGCGUGGGGAGCAAACAGG